GGGCGUAUGGUCUAGUGGUAUGAUUUCUGUUUUGCAAACACCCGGAAUAUCUGGGACAAGCUCAUACAGACGGUCCCGCGUUCGAUCCGCGGUACGUCCA
Diplogelasinospora grovesii is the source of this 100-nucleotide non-coding RNA. Lineage: Eukaryota; Fungi; Ascomycota; Sordariomycetes; Sordariales; Diplogelasinosporaceae. The record is from the annotation of a GenBank genome assembly.